UGUAUUAGCCGUGUAAAGUUUUUUUACACAAUCAACCAAUUAGAUUUCAUAGAUUUUUUAUGUCAGUCAAUUUAAUUAAAUAAAAAAUCUAUAUUUUUCAUACUCAUGAAAUCUGAUUGGUUGACGGUGUUAAAAAACUUUACACUGUCUACA
RNAcentral lists this microRNA precursor (153 nucleotides) under Lotus japonicus. RNAcentral describes it as "miR11078a stem-loop (lja-MIR11078a)". The record is from miRBase by way of RNAcentral. Lineage: Eukaryota; Viridiplantae; Streptophyta; Magnoliopsida; Fabales; Fabaceae.